Molecule: small nuclear RNA, 103 nt
Organism: Rattus norvegicus (Norway rat)
Lineage: Eukaryota; Metazoa; Chordata; Mammalia; Rodentia; Muridae
Source: Ensembl
UCACUUUGGCAGUGCACAUAUUAAAAUUGGAGUGACACAAAUGAUGUCAGCAUGACCCCUGCACAAGGAGGACACAAAUCUUCACCAAGCAUUCCACAGUCUG